UUAUUUAUGGAGAGUUUGAUCCUGGCUCAGGAUGAACGCUGGCGGCGUGCCUAAUACAUGCAAGUCGAGCGAACAGACGG
This 80-nucleotide ribosomal RNA is filed under the name Staphylococcus pettenkoferi. Its description in RNAcentral is "partial 16S ribosomal RNA". It matches the Rfam family "Bacterial small subunit ribosomal RNA", at positions 1 to 77 of the family's 1533-position model. Lineage: Bacteria; Bacillati; Bacillota; Bacilli; Caryophanales; Staphylococcaceae. The record is from RNAcentral.